UAGCUUUUGUUCUAAGUCAAACUUCUCAAAUUUUGACCAAGUUUAUAGGGAAAUACAUCAACAUGUACAAAAACAAAUAAAUGCACUAUCAACACUCACAAUAGAUUUAACGAAACUAAUUUGAUAUUGUAGAUGUUGAUGCAUUUUUCUAUAAACUCGGUCAAAGUUGGAGAAGCUUGACUUAUGACAAAACCUAA
This 197-nucleotide microRNA precursor is filed under the name Oryza brachyantha (malo sina). RNAcentral describes it as "MIR1435 microRNA precursor family". It matches the Rfam family "MIR1435 microRNA precursor family". Lineage: Eukaryota; Viridiplantae; Streptophyta; Magnoliopsida; Poales; Poaceae. The record is from Rfam by way of RNAcentral.